CCAGUCCCCUGCAGUGGCCUCCAGCAGAAUCAUGUGGCUCCACCCCCUCAUCCUGCCUGCACCCUGCUCUGGGGGACAAAAAAUAAUUUUCUCUAUCUUUUGUAGUUCUUAACGGGGACUCGGAUGACAAAAGACAGAUUAACAAGAGAGAAACAAAUAGAAGUUCAUUAGCAUGUGUCCCCGCGGGCACCAGGGAAGCCAGUGGCUCUGGAGGAAGUUUCGGCUUCAGACUUGAACCCCGCCAUUUUCUGAAGCAGAAAGAAGGGCCUGGGGGAGCCCAGCACCGCAAGCUCAGGGAGGCUGUGCGGUCGAGGCCCCGCCUCCCUGCAGGGUCUCCAGUGAGCCCGUCCUUCUUCCCCCGUGGGGCCCGGGCACCCUCCAGGGGGUUGCCCCCAGAGAGGUGCCUUCCUCUUACCAGGAGGUGACUUUUCAGAGCUGCUCUGGUGGCCGCCAUGUCUCAGAAUGACCAGCUCAAAAUCAUCAUCACGCCAAACAGGCCUAUGGCAGGGUGGCCUCUUCUGGCCCAUCCUGGGCAUAUCUGGGGGGGACGGGCGUAGGCCCCAUCGCCACCUUCCAGGGGAACCCCAGGCACCUCCCUGCCACAGGGCGCGUGCCCAGGAGCUUCAGGAAUAAAAGGGGACGCCCGCUCGGGGUGACCAAGACCCUGCC
This 669-nucleotide long non-coding RNA is filed under the name Ictidomys tridecemlineatus (thirteen-lined ground squirrel). RNAcentral's name for it is "lncRNA (ENSSTOG00000029784.1)". Lineage: Eukaryota; Metazoa; Chordata; Mammalia; Rodentia; Sciuridae. The record is from RNAcentral.